RNAcentral lists this long non-coding RNA (466 nucleotides) under Salvia miltiorrhiza (redroot sage). RNAcentral's name for it is "long non-coding RNA (SMIL_LNC009926)". The record is from RNAcentral. Lineage: Eukaryota; Viridiplantae; Streptophyta; Magnoliopsida; Lamiales; Lamiaceae.
GCAUUAUUUAUAUUUUGAAUAUGGGGUUACUUACAUGUGGUAGAAACUUUCUAAGUUCUUCACUUGCUUAUUAGAUCGCAUAUGAUGUGAUAAGAAUUGGAAAUCAGAAUGCUUAGAAUCUGCAAAUACAAAAUGACGACAAUGGAUAUAUAAGAUAUAUAAAGAGUAUAUCUUGCCCAAGAAGAAUAUCUACCCACAUAGACUUUAACGAACAGGUUAUGCGAGUUUGGCUGGAAAAAAAAUGGUACAUUUUUUGUUACAUUUUUUAUUUGUUUGUAUUUGAUUAUGAUUGUGAAGUGAGAUGGUUUUUUGUUCAAGUGAAGAUACUAGGGCUUUAUAUUCUAUUGUCACGAUAAAAAUUUAUUGUUAUAGUAAACGACGUCCAAUUGGGCUAAAAUUUGAUGGAUAGAUACUAGGAACAUUUAGGUAGCUAUUGUAAAAUUUUCAUUACUUUUUGAUGACGGGA